CCCAAACCCCUGUGAACAUACCUAUCGUUGCCUCGGCGGGAUCGCCCCGGCGCCCUCGGGCCCGGACCCAGGCGCCCGCCGGAGGACCCAAACUCUUGUCUCUUUUGAGUAUCUUCUGAGUGACACAAGCAAAUAAAUCAAAACUUUCAACAACGGAUCUCUUGGUUCUGGCAUCGAUGAAGAACGCAGCGAAAUGCGAUAAGUAAUGUGAAUUGCAGAAUUCAGUGAAUCAUCGAAUCUUUGAACGCACAUUGCGCCCGCCAGUAUUCUGGCGGGCAUGCCUGUUCGAGCGUCAUUUCAACCCUCAAGCCCCCGGGCUUGGUGUUGGGGAUCGGCCCGCCCCGCGGCGCCGGCCCCGAAAUCUAGUGGCGGUCUCGCUGUAGCUUCCUCUGCGUAGUAGCAUACACCUCGCAGCCUGGAACGCGGCGCGGCCCUGCCGUUAAACCCCCAACUUUUAUGAUGUUGACCUCGGAUCAGGUAGGAAUA
RNAcentral lists this ribosomal RNA (486 nucleotides) under Nectriaceae sp. E14029c. RNAcentral describes it as "eukaryotic LSU rRNA". The stretch from base 142 to 295 matches the Rfam family "5.8S ribosomal RNA". Lineage: Eukaryota; Fungi; Ascomycota; Sordariomycetes; Hypocreales; Nectriaceae. The record is from RNAcentral.